This 4474-nucleotide long non-coding RNA is filed under the name Mus musculus (house mouse). Its description in RNAcentral is "long non-coding RNA chr10:111168635-111173109". The record is from RNAcentral. Lineage: Eukaryota; Metazoa; Chordata; Mammalia; Rodentia; Muridae.
AACUAAGAGAGAGGGCAGCCUGAGUAACUUACAGUGGAGAGCUGCCUGGAGGCAGCUUACAGUGGAGAGCUGUAAGUUAACCAACCCCACCCAGCACUUGGAGGCAAAGGCAGGUGAAUCUCUGAGUUCAUGGCAAAAACAAAAAGAAGACAAGAAAAAAGGAAGCUAAAAAUCGUGUUGGGAAUGGAUGUAGCUUAAACAAAACAACCAUGUUUCAGUCAGCAAAACAAACAUUAAACAGCGUCACAAAUAAGCACAGUUGUUUUUAUCUUGUGUUACAUUAGCAAGAACUUUUCUUCUCCCAUCCCAGUGCUUAUGCAGUCACCUCAGAGGCACAUGCUUUUAAUCCAAGGCAGAGGCAAGCCUGAGUUCAAGGCCAGCCUCGGCUACAGGGUUCCUGGAUAGCCAGGGCUACAUAGAGAAACUCUGUCUUGAAAAACCAAACAAAACACAAAGUGAAAAUACAGAGUUCUUCAGUUUUUCGGAAUGGCAAUAUUAUAGUUACAGAGGGAAGUUUGAGUAUAUCUUAAACAAGUAAUGGGCCCUUCAGCAGGUUACUAGCCUUGGCUUUCUCAUUUGUAGAGUGGGACACUAACCUUACCUUACGUGGUGGUUUGGAGAAUGCAAUUACAUGUGUUUUCAUCUGCCUACCUCAAUAUUUAGCAUGUGGAGAUUUUUCAACAAUUAUAAAAUUAUGUGAAAUUUUUUCUUUGCAUCUAGAUCUUUAAGUACUGUUUUGGUUCAGUUGUCAUUAAUUUGAAUUUAGGGCCUUGCAUAUAUUAGGUAAGUGCUCUGUCACUAUUAGUGGACUACUUAGGCCAUUUUUCCCAAGUUCACAUAUUUUACUUUCUUUACCUAAUUGACUCAUGGUAAUAUCCUUUUAGAUUCAUAGUUUUCUGUCUGUGUCUGUCUCCUCCUAAAUUCUCAUGUAGUCAGGUUUGACACUGAAUUCCUUAUCCUCCAGUCUGGUCUUGUUGCUACAGGAAUGCCCAUUCAUUCCCCAAAGGUAGUUUUUCUUUGUGUAAAACUUAGUGUUUUCUGACGGGCAGGUGGCGCAUACCUUUGAUCCCAGCACUUGGGAAGCAGAGGCAGAUGGGUUUCUGAGUUUGAGACCAGCCUGGUCUACAGAGUGAGUUCCAGGACAGCCAGGGCUACACAGAAAAACCCUGUAUCAAAACAACCAAAAACCAAAAAACAAAACAACAACAACAACAAACCCUUAGUGUUUUCUGAUAGAAGUGAAUCUUAAUUGUAUUAGUGACCCUUGUCACAGAUUACAAGGAAUGCUGGCUUCCUCAGAAUCGUGAAGCUCCAGUGCCCAUUGGUUCUCUAUGACGCUCAGAGCUUCGUUAUUCUGUCUGGAUCUGAGCAGCACUCUGGUGCAUAUAAGAUGCUUGAGGUAGACUUUGAGUUUUGAAAUGGUAGAGGCUGCUUACCACAAAUCUGUUUUAACCAGGAGUGGCAGAACGUCUGAUUCUUUAGGCUUUUCUUUCUUGUAAAAUUAAAAAGAAUUGUUUAAUUAAGUGCACAUGAGUACAGGUGCCCAUGGAGACCAGAAAGGGGACAUCAGUGCCCUCGAUCUGGAAGGCUGGGGUAAGUCACCUCACAUGGGUGUUGUGAGCCAAACUUGGGCUCCGGAAGAGCAGCAAGUGCUAUAUCUGCUGAGCCAUCCCUCCAACCCCUAAAAUUUAUUUUAAAAGAAGUUACCUUUAUCAUCAUACUUUUCUGUCCAUUGUUUUUGAAACAGACAAAAAGCCAAGGAGUUUUCAAAUAGCAUUCUCUACUUGUAGAGAUAUAGAUGGGUGUAAACCAUGAGGAUGGUUACUUUCUGUUUUAUUUUAGAAUUCAGAAGUUUUGGAGUUGACUGAUAGGCCUCUCCAACAUUUCUCUCCACAUGUGCUUGUGUGUACAGGCGUAUUUGUAUGUACUUGUGUGUACAUGCCAGUGUUGUGCUUGCUGAGUAGGCUAAACUGGCUAGCUGGCCAGUGAGCUUUAGGUAUGACCGUAAUUCUCCUUUCCCAGCCCUGGGACUGUACAUGUAGGCCUCUGUCUGGUUUUUACACAUGGCCAGGAGAGUAAACUCAUGUACCAAAUGCAUGCACAUGAGCACUAGUUAUGAGAUGUCACAGUUUCUUGCAAAGAAUCCAAAGCCUUUAUAAAUUACUGAAUGUCUAGUGGGAAUGCUACCCCUCUGGAAGAGAGGAGCUGAUGUAAGCGGUAUUUUGAAUGAGGUUGGAAGCUGGUGCCAAGAGGGCAUGGAUACAUUGUUCAAGUGAGAAGGUGGGAACUGGAAGAAACCAGGUGUGCUAAGUGUAUACUUUUGUGUCUUGUCUAUUAUUGAAGAUGAGCAGUUCAGAAGCUAAGAAAAACAGCACUGUGCAUUGUAGUGUGGCUUUUGUAAUAAUACUGUGUGGAUACAAAUAUUGGCAGCAAUGGAUUCUCUUAUCACCAUCAUUUUAGACAUGUAAAGAAACAGAAUAACAUUGACUUGGUGCCAGACUGUAAGUUCAGAACUACUUUAUUGUCUCUGGCUGACCAGGGGUGGCCACAGGGAAGAAAAUGCAGCUGUAGGCUGAAUUGACAGGCUGAAAGGGAAAGUGUGUAGAGGCCAGGCACAGAACCUGUAGGCUUCUCAGUUCUUACUUAGUAGAGAAGAGACUUUACUAGAAACUGAAAUAAACAGAAAUUAGCAGUAGAAGCUAGCUAGUUGGUGCCGAGGCUGCUGUUAGGAGGGGUGAGACCAUACUGAAGAGGGAUAGGAAGGGCAGGUGCAGUUCAUUGCUUGCCACAGUCUUCCUUCCUCCCUGUCAUCAGGUGGGUGUGGUGGAUGUGCUGUGCUGUCACGCUGGAUUGAAAUGACGGAGGAGUGGGUGUCCUUUCUUUACCUUUUCUUCCAUUUGUGGAGUCAAGUCUGAAGGUUGGAGGUCUUUUGGGGAAGUAGACAUAGGUUCAAAGGAUCUAGUCCCUGAUUGUUCGGGAGAUAGCUCAGUUGGUAAAGUGCUUGCGAGGUCCUGCUGCUUGGGUAGCUGGUUCAUGCCUGUGCAAGCAUGCGGCCCUGAGGUAGGUUACAGGUGAAUGCCUGGGCUCACUGGGCGGCUAGCCUCACCUAGUCGGGAAGCCCCAGGGCUUCGAUAGACCGUCUCAGAAAACCUAGGUGACAGUGCGUGGGGACUAACACUCAAGGUUAGUCUCCGGCCUCCACACAGAAGUGCAUCCAUGGGCGCCUGCACACGCACCACAUGGACACACACCUGCUCUCUAAGUAAACAAACGGGUUCCAGGUAGAAGCAAAGUGUGCACUAAACAGGGACAUACCAAGUGGACUGGAAUUUUGGCUGAAGCUACUGAAAAUUUGGGGUUUAGCAGUUAAUGGUGUCACAGCUGCAAGCCAUUGAGUAGAUGAAGUGCUUGAGAUCCUAAGAAUAUCUGUAAGAAUGGUAGCUGAGGUGGGUGAUGCUGAGCUGCUGCUGAUACAGAUACACAGAGUAUACGCCGUGGAUUCAGCGAGGGCCAUUGGCCAAGCCUGAGAUGCCUGUGAGGACGCACAGGGUAGUCCUUGAGUCUGUAUUUCGAUGAAUGCUGAUAGUAUCCAUGCCAUGAAAGUUUUGUCUUGUAGCAGACAUUGCCAUAAGAACUAGGAUUAGAAGAGUUCUCUUAAAGCAGAAUGUCCUGUCCUGGCACGCAGUGUUUCAGCUGGGUGAUGAUUUGGUUAUGUGUUCCUGCGUGUUAGAGAAUGGGUUACCCCAUCCCUGAACCCACUAGAUUCCAGGAAUACUCUCGUAAUUGUAACAGCUAGAAAAUGUUUCAAGACAUUGCUAAAUGUCCUCUGGGAUAGUAGAGACACUACCUUAAAGACAGAGUGAACCUGUAAGCUAUAGAAAAUCCCUCUCUUUAGUUAAAGAGCUUUCCCUUCUGUUAGGGAAUAGAUGAGGGUUCAUGGGAGGUUGUUUAUGGAUGUGGAGUGAAGGAAAUGUGCAUUGUUUUUGUAAAGGUUAUAGUUUCUGUUGGAUUUUUAUUUAUUUUUUCCUUUUGAGACAAGAUCUCAUUGUUGAGCUAUGGCUGGCCUGUGUCGUCUAGGCAGGGCCCCAACUCCAUGUGAUCCUUUUGUUUUUGUACCACCAUGUCUGACUUGUUGACUCUUGACCCAUUCUUAGUUCUAUCAGUUUCAUAUUUAGUUUCCUUCAAACAGCAAGAAAGCUACCAGUUAGCUGAGCCCAAAUGAAGACAUUACUGAAGUUUUUCAUUUUUUUCUAUAUUUUUCCUCCUAAUUAUGGGUACUUUGUAUUUCCUAUUUAAACACAGUUUCCGCUAUGUAACCCUAUCUCUGCAUUAUGUCCUGAGGUUGCUUAUAAUUGAUAAAAGCAAGUAAUGUUGACACUAUGACUAUGUAACUAUUAUUUAUGGCUGGGUCAGGUAGUAUGCAUAGAUUGUGAUUCCUUUUCUGUAGAUUUUAUUAUGUAGUCCCCGAGUAAUU